RNAcentral lists this long non-coding RNA (2997 nucleotides) under Homo sapiens (human). Its description in RNAcentral is "HSALNT0167841". The record is from RNAcentral. Lineage: Eukaryota; Metazoa; Chordata; Mammalia; Primates; Hominidae.
UGAAAUGUACAUAUUGCAAAAUUCCACAUUAAACAAUGACUUUCUGUGUCCAAUUUUCCUGGUUUUAAUUCAAAACACCUAGAAAAGACAAUAUUGACUCAACUCAUAUCAAAGGCAAUAGAUGUUUCAGUCAAGUAAGAUGAGAGGGUCAGUGUCAUCCUGUUGUCACAGCUAUUAUGAGCUGGUAGAUACUACAAAAUGUAAACAAACAAGAGUUGCUUAGGGGAACAUAAGCUGCAAUAAGCUCUCAGUUCUCUAUUUGACACCCAUUUAGUGAGUAUUUGGCAAUUUUUCUCACCGUUGACUUUGUUCUAGUGAAGUAAAGGGAGACAGAAGUACUGAAGAGAAGAAAUGCUCAACUGGAUAAAGGCAGGAAGAAGAAAUAUUUGGUAGACUGUUUUUCACUGCCUUUCAGUAGGACAAGGUUGAUCCUGCUGCACACACAGAUUACCAGAGAGGUACCGUCUGGUUUUGCAGAGUGGGGGAGCAGCCCCUUGAGACAUAGCUAAAGCAACAAGCAGAGAAAGAAGGAAGAACUGUGCAAAUCUGUCACAUGAGGACACGCCUGUUCCUGGAGACAGUCAGUUCACUAUCACUGAAAAGAAGCUAGAAGAACAAAUAACAGGGCCAUUGAGAGGAAGAUUUGAGCAUUGGAAGAAGGAGUAAAUGAUGUACUGGCUUACAAACCUGACUGCUCAUCAGAAUCAUCUAAGACAAUUUUAAAACAUGAAAGCAGGAGACAGUCUGAUUCACUAGGUCUACGGGAAAGCUGAGCACCAGUGUUUGGAGCAAGAAAUCCCUGGUUAUUCUGUUGCAGGCACCUGCCAGUGGAACCUAUGGACUCAGUUCUCCUCAAGGCCUCUUUCAGGUUUAAAAUUCUCUAACAUAGCUUUAAAUAUGUUUACCUUGUAUUGAGCAGACAUGUUGUGGGAUGCAAGGUGCUAUUUGUAUUUCAUUCAUUACCUUUUCUAAUGCUUCUUCCAUUCCAUGGGCUUGUCCCUUUUAUAAAUGAGUAAAGUGAUACUUUGUAAGGUUAUGGUGAUGAAAUAGAAACAUGAAUACACAUACAGCCCAAUCCACAUUACGUUGUGCCCGAAGGAGAGAGUUGUGCCUGGAAUCAAGGGAUUAGGGAAGUCAGAAAAGAGGUGCCUCUAGAAAGAUGGUAACACCUGUGCCAGUUUUAUGAGCAAUGGCUCCUAUAAAGUCUUCUAUCACCAAUAGAGCAAUUAAUUACCAGUCAUUCAACUCAUCCCUGAAUCCUGAAGUGCCUUCUGUAGUAUGUAAAUACAGAUAAUUCAAGGACGAGGUAUAAUGGAAAGGGGAGAUACAAGAGAAAAACCUGGGAAAAAUAUUUUUCCAGAAGGGGUGAUAUUUAUCCAAUUAAUGCUUGGCUUCCUGCCAAUAUUUAGUGCAUAGCUGUACAUAGAGCCACACAGAAUUUUCUCAAGAGGAGUUGGUUGGGCAGGAAACUAUGGUAAAUGUGUAAAGCAAACCUAAUAAUACAAACACCAUCAGUGUGACCAGUUUCAGAAAGGGUGAAGUGCCUGUAUUAUUAUACACUUCAAUUUCCAAUGCCUUAGUUGCAGAAAGGCAGCAUAGGCACUUUGUGAUGAUCAGGUAACCUCAUUCACCUCUUUAGCAUCCUUUUUCUCUCCAGUAUAGGAAAAUAGAUUUUUUUUUUUCAAUCCAAAGCCAACCAGAUUUGCUAAAUAACCUCUGACUAAGUAAAGGUCUCAGGUCUUAGAUCUCUUUCUUCAUUAACAAGUCAACAUCCAGCAUUGUUGCUUCCAGCUUUUAAAAAAAUCAAACAAAGAUGCUUGCAGACAUCAUCAGCAGGGCCAGUGAGGCAUGCAUUACAUUUCCAGAAUCAUAAAUAACAAAGGCAGGAGCCUUUACUUAGUGUGUAUGCCUGUGUGUGUAUCGUCAUAUAAUAAUAUUAUGAUUAGAUUUCACGUUUUAAAACAACCCUAUUUAUACUAGAGGUGAGGACCUUUCCAGAAAUAACAAAAGGGAACUUGGGCUGUACAUUACCACUUACUCAGGUGUUUUGUGUUCUUCUGUAAUAAGAUGAUUAAUGACAAAUAAGUUAAUUGGCCUUUGAAAUGCCGUUCUCUCUGUAUCCAUGACUUGCGCUAUGUUGACAUAUUCUUGUGGUGUGGUAGGAGUUAUUAAGAAAUUGUUUUAGGCAGAUAGAGAGGAAAAGGGGUACAUGGAAGGUUUUUUCACAGCUCCAAAAAAGUGUUUCUUGUCUAGCAUGAAAGUCCUGGUUCUUAGACCCAGGCUGGCAACCUUUAAUACGCAAAUGCAAGCCGUUGGAAACCGGGUCCACCCAACAUGGCAAUUCCCACUGUUGCUCUCUUGCCCUUGCCCCUACAUGUGCCUGACAGCAUGGCCGCCCCCACAUAUCCCUACAUGUGUAGAACAUUAUGGUGCCCUGUAUUUGCAUAUUAAAGAACUGGGAUGGGAGGGCCAGGUUUUUCACGGUCUAUAUAAACGACAUGCAUGGUCAAACUAAUCCCCUGAGCCCUAUGGAAAUCAGACACCAUCUCCUCCAGCCUUUGCAUAGAACUGGCUGGUAUCCUCCGAAUUCAGGGUCUCCUCUUUAGGCUUUGGAGCCCCCCUCCCUCUGUCUCUGUACUGGGGAGCUUCUUCCUUCUACCUUCUCCCCUUUUGCCUAUUAAACUCUCCUCUCCUUAAAACCACUCCACGUGUAUCGGUGUCAUUUUAUCUAAUUCAACUCGAAACGAAGAACCUGGUGUUCCUCCCUUCAUCAAAGCCAUAUCAGUGGCACAAAAUAUCUGUGACCUCUAAAGAGAGAAUACCUUCAAAUCUGAAGGGUUUAGAAAGAAAUUAGAUGGAAGACCAAGUAUGAGGCUCUUUAUAGUGGGACAGUAAGACUACAUAGUAGUAGAUAUCUACGCAGCUUGCUUCAGAGAUAAGAGCUGGACCUUAAUCACGUCCAGUAAAGAGCACAUACUCUGUGAGUGUUUGAUAAAC